This 447-nucleotide ribosomal RNA is filed under the name uncultured bacterium. RNAcentral describes it as "bacterial SSU rRNA". It matches the Rfam family "Bacterial small subunit ribosomal RNA", at positions 330 to 793 of the family's 1533-position model. The record is from RNAcentral.
ACCAGACUCCUACGGGAGGCAGCAGUGGGGGAUAUUGCACAAUGGGGGGAACCCUGAUGCAGCGACGCCGCGUGGGUGAAGGAGCGUUUCGGCGCGUAAAGCCCUAUCGGCAGGGAAGAAGGAGGACGGUACCUGACUAAGAAGCCCCGGCUAACUACGUGCCAGCAGCCGCGGUAAUACGUAGGGGGCGAGCGUUAUCCGGAUUCACUGGGUGUAAAGGGAGCGUAGACGGCCAUGCAAGCCAGGGGUGAAAGCCCGGGGCCCAACCCCGGGACUGCCCUUGGAACUGCAUGGCUGGAGUGCGGGAGGGGCAGGCGGAAUUCCUGGUGUAGCGGUGAAAUGCGUAGAUAUCAGGAGGAACACCGGCGGCGAAGGCGGCCUGCUGGACCGCGACUGACGUUGAGGCUCGAAAGCGUGGGGAGCAAACAGGAUUAGAUACCCCAGUAC